UACGGGGGGAGCAAGCGUUGUUCGGAUUUACUGGGCGUAAAGGGCGCGUAGGCGGCCACCGCAAGUCAGUUGUGAAAUCUCUGGGCUUAACCCAGAACGGUCAGCUGAUACUGCGGGGCUAGAGUGCAGAAGGGGCAACUGGAAUUCUCGGUGUAGCGGUGAAAUGCGUAGAUAUCGAGAGGAACACCUGCGGCGAAGGCGGGUUGCUGGGCUGACACUGACGCUGAUGCGCGAAAGCCAGGGGAGCGAACGGG
This 254-nucleotide ribosomal RNA is filed under the name uncultured bacterium. RNAcentral's name for it is "partial 16S ribosomal RNA". It matches the Rfam family "Bacterial small subunit ribosomal RNA", at positions 524 to 776 of the family's 1533-position model. The record is from RNAcentral.